GGGGCUAUAGCUCAGUGGUAGAGUGUGUGCUUAGCAUGCAUGAGGCCCUGGGUUCAAACCCCAGUACCA
This 69-nucleotide transfer RNA is filed under the name Urocitellus parryii (Arctic ground squirrel). RNAcentral describes it as "Spermophilus parryii (Arctic ground squirrel) tRNA". It matches the Rfam family "tRNA". Rfam says of the family: Transfer RNA (tRNA) molecules are approximately 80 nucleotides in length. Their secondary structure includes four short double-helical elements and three loops (D, anti-codon, and T loops). Lineage: Eukaryota; Metazoa; Chordata; Mammalia; Rodentia; Sciuridae. RNAcentral also lists the same sequence under 2 other names. The record is from Rfam by way of RNAcentral.